CAUUUUUUCAUUGAUCAUCAGCACCCGUCAGGACCGAAUCACCAGCACAGAACGUUCUCUCACAGGACAACCAUACCCACCGUGAGAAAAGAAAACUGAAGUUGAAAUCAUCCCUUCGUAAAUUUUACGGACGCCAUCACGAGUUGGUUGACCGUUAUGGAAUAACCGUUUCACAAAUGAUAUCGGAUAUGUUCCUUACGUCGUAACUACAAUCCCCUUCCCUUUCAUGAAUGUGACCUACCGAAUUAGACUAUUUACCGGAUUGUUAUCACAUAAGCAACACGACGGGUGCCACAUGUGGAGCAGGAUCUGCUUACCCUUCCGGAGCACCUGAGAUCACCCCUAGUUUUUGGUGGGG
Molecule: long non-coding RNA, 358 nt
Filed under: Mytilus galloprovincialis (Mediterranean mussel)
Lineage: Eukaryota; Metazoa; Mollusca; Bivalvia; Mytilida; Mytilidae
Source: RNAcentral